AAACUAACAAGGAUUCCCCUAGUAACGGCGAGUGAAGCGGGAUGAGCUCAAAUUUAAAAUCUGGUGUCCUUUGGGCAUCCGAGUUGUAGUCUAGAGAAGUGUUUUCCGUGUUGGACCAUGUACAAGUCUCCUGGAACGGAGCGUCAUAGAGGGUGAGAAUCCCGUUCUUGACAUGGACCCCCAAUGCUAUGUGAUGCACUCUCAAAGAGUCGAGUUGUUUGGGAUUGCAGCUCAAAAUGGGAGGUAAAUUCCUUCUAAAGCUAAAUAUUGGCGAGAGACCGAUAGCGAACAAGUACCGUGAGGGAAAGAUGAAAAGCACUUUGGAAAGAGAGUUAAACAGUACGUGAAAUUGUUAAAAGGGAAACGAUUGAAGUCAGUCGCGUUUAUUUGGACUCAGCCUUACUUCGGUUUGGUGCAUUUCCUUAUAAACGGGCCAACGUCAAUGUUAGUCGCUGGAAAAAGGUAUAAGGAAUGUGGCUCUUUCGGGAGUGUUAUAGCCUUGUAUCAUAUGCAGUGAUUAGUAUUGAGUGUAACAGCACGCUUUAGCGGUGCUUGUGUUGGCGUAAUGGCUUUAAACGAC
Molecule: ribosomal RNA, 580 nt
Filed under: Burgoa anomala
Lineage: Eukaryota; Fungi; Basidiomycota; Agaricomycetes; Cantharellales; Hydnaceae
Description: LSU rRNA
Rfam family: Eukaryotic large subunit ribosomal RNA
Source: RNAcentral